This is a long non-coding RNA of Biomphalaria glabrata, 1055 nucleotides long. RefSeq lists it as uncharacterized. The record is from RefSeq and is a predicted model, not a curated record. The transcript has 2 exons. NCBI's taxonomy places the organism in Eukaryota, Metazoa, Mollusca, Gastropoda, Planorbidae.
UGCCUAGCUUACCAUCGGUCACGGAGGUCACGCUAAGCCGUCCUGUGGGGGAACACAUUGUGUUCAGAUCUAUACGUUGAUUGGUUCUUAAAAGCAUAGAUUUAGUCUAGAAAUGAAGAACGCGAGAGUGAGGGAGUGGCGGGUUGGUACCGUCAGUUAGCUGAUACACCAACGUGACUUUUUUUUUGUAAGUUCAUUAGUAGAAAAUAAUUAUGUUGAAUCCCUGAUUCCCGUAUUCAUUUGUAUAGAAAAAAAAUAUCGAAGUGCUAUCGAUUCAAAACACAUUGAGUGACAUUGUAGAUAUCUAGUCUAGAUCUAUAUCUGGAUUCUAGAUCUAGAAUCUAGAUAACUUAGUUAUACAGGAAUAGAUCUAGCUAGACAUUACGACUGAUGAUUACGUUAUGUCAUGAGUCUCUACAUUACUCUAUAAUCUAGAUCCAAUUUAGUUGCAGUAUGAUUUAGAUUGACUAGAUCUAGAUCGAUAACAUCUACUAACAUCUAGUCUAGAUCUAGACUAGAUUAAAUUCUUAGUCUUAGUAUAGAAUAGAUCAAGGAUGAAGGUAGGCUUACGAAAGUUUGGAGUAGACCUACGUUUGUAGCGGAUCCACGGCAUCGGUAACACUCUUGAGCCCAGAUCUAGAGUAGAUUAUAUUCAUUAUAUAGACAUAGAUCCAAAUCUAGUCUAGAUAUCAUCUCUAUUGUCGUAUUGAUUUAGAUUGUAGAUCUAAUCAUGACAUUUAGAUCUAAUAUUAUAUAUAUAUAUAUAUAUAUAUAUAUAUAUAUAUAUAUGACAAAAUAGUGGUUCGCGUAAGUGUUACGCAUUCUGGUGCCAAAAUACGCAUUUUGACCAUCAGCGUUACGCAUUUGGACUUUUUUUGGUAGGCAGGUCUGCACAGAAAUAAAAAAUAUAUUUGUAUAUCCAGAAGUGCAGGACAUACAGUUAGUGUAAGCAGACAUGAUUGUUACUGAAGUGAUGUUGAUACCAAAUGGCAAUAGUUUGAGAGUGGAAUGUUUUGAUUUCUGAAUUUGUCAAAUAAAAUUUGUGUACAGUUUUA